This 1170-nucleotide ribosomal RNA is filed under the name Triticum aestivum (bread wheat). RNAcentral describes it as "partial small subunit ribosomal RNA". Lineage: Eukaryota; Viridiplantae; Streptophyta; Magnoliopsida; Poales; Poaceae. The record is from RNAcentral.
AUGGAUGCUCUGGAGGCUGACUUCCGCAACCGUGCUCUGCUCGCCACUGUUAGGGGCAGGAGGCCCCCAGUGUCGCCGGAGGCGCUCGUCCAAGCUCUCGCCAGAGAUUGCGGGGUGGAGCGUCGGCAUGUCAGGGUGGAAGUCACCUACCCGGCUGAUUUUUUCCUCACCUUCGCCUCUGCGGAGAUCUGCGACCGGGUGUUCAGCAGUUUCGACCGGAUUUGCUGUGCCGGAGCCCCUAUUGGGUUUCAGCGCUGGCAUCGGAGCACGCAAGCCGUUGGGGGCAAGCUCGGUUUCUUCUGCAAGUUAGGCAUCGAGGGACUGCCGGCCAGCGCAUGGGAAGUGGGCGCUGUCAGUCAGCUCAUCAACAAUCUUCAGGGCCAGCUGGUGGAGAUCCUACCGCAGCAAGAUCGCUGGCAGUUGGAGGUGACAGCUUGGCUGCGUAAUCCGUCCGGCGUCCCGAAGAUCUAUGACCUAGAGGUGCCGGAGCCGGUGGGUUUGCAGAAUACGGUCGAUGAGGAAUGGCUGGUGGCACCCCCGCCGCCGGCCCUGCCUACGGAGCGCCUCACUUUGAUCCAUCCGCUCACAUUGCAUGUGCUGGAUGUGGUCGACCGCACUGUCCCCUACCUUCAGCUCCGACCUGAUUUCCAGCCAGAUGAGGAUGAGGACCUCACCAGGAGGCAUGACUAUUCGGGCAUCUGCUACAGAGGAAGAAUUGAUGGUGAAGGCAGGGGAGACACGCCACGCUCUGGUGGUCACCCCUUCGGCGGUCCUGGUGGGCUUGGCAUUGCCGGAGACUGGGGCGGUCGCCGUUCCAAUGGGGUCUUCGGGUCGGCAGGCGGCAUAUCCCCUCCCUUUGUGGUGCAUCCGGCUAGUCAUGGCUCCACCCCAGCCGGGGCCUCUCCCUUCUCAGAUGACAACAGCGAUUUUCGGCCAGGCUCGAGAAGGCGGGAAUCCCCACUCCAUGGAUCCGUGGCUCCUACGGCUGUGGGCUCGGCGGCCUACGUUGACACGCCGGUCCUGGUGCUUUCAGCUGCAGACACGGCGGUCGGUCCGGCAGCUCUUGUCAGCACGCCAGCAGUGGGGAAAAUCCUCCUCCAGCACCCCCCCGUCCCCGCGGCGCCUUUCCUUCAGCCCAGCGGCGGUGAUGCUGGAUUCCAGGGAGCAUGA